GAAAUGCGAUACGUAAUGUGAAUUGCAGAAUUCAAGUGAAUCAUCGAAUCUUUGAACGCAUAUUGCACUCUCUGGUAUCCCGGAGAGUAUGCCCGUUUCAGUAUCAUUGAGUGAGCAUCGGGGAGAAAUCGCGCCAUACUUUCCAGGAGUAUGAUUUCGUUGAUCUCUUCGGAUCUGAGCCCUACGUCAAUCAGGAUAAUAAGGAAUUCCCUUCCUUCCUAUUUUGAAUGGCUGGCUUGAAAUGUAAAACACCCUCGCAGUCAAGGGAGGCGAAAAGCGUCAUGGUUGGCCUCGUCUGCCAUCUUCCGCCGAAAGCCUCCUUUCUCUCUGCCUGUGAUUUUUUUGCAGGAAAAAAAAAAAAUAAAAUAAAAUAAAAUUUGAUCUGAAAUCGGGUAGGGCU
This 400-nucleotide unclassified non-coding RNA is filed under the name uncultured fungus. RNAcentral describes it as "sequence contains ITS1". The stretch from base 1 to 106 matches the Rfam family "5.8S ribosomal RNA", at positions 50 to 154 of the family's 154-position model. Lineage: Eukaryota; Fungi. The record is from RNAcentral.